UGAACGACUCUCGGCAACGGAUAUCUCGGCUCUUGCAUCGAUGAAGAACGUAGCGAAAUGCGAUACUUGGUGUGAAUUGCAGAAUCCCGUGAACCAUCGAGUCUUUGAACGCAAGUUGCGCCUGAAGCCAUUASGUUGAAGGCACGUCUGCCUGGGCGUCACGC
RNAcentral lists this ribosomal RNA (164 nucleotides) under Cavendishia bracteata. RNAcentral describes it as "5.8S ribosomal RNA". It matches the Rfam family "5.8S ribosomal RNA". Rfam says of the family: 5.8S ribosomal RNA (5.8S rRNA) is a component of the large subunit of the eukaryotic ribosome. It is transcribed by RNA polymerase I as part of the 45S precursor that also contains 18S and 28S rRNA. Functionally, it is thought that 5.8S rRNA may be involved in ribosome translocation. Lineage: Eukaryota; Viridiplantae; Streptophyta; Magnoliopsida; Ericales; Ericaceae. The record is from RNAcentral.